UACGAAGGUCCCAAGCGUUGUCCGGAUUUAUUGGGUUUAAAGGGUGCGUAGGCGGGUUAUUAAGUCAGUGGUGAAAGCCUGCAGCUUAACUGCAGAAUUGCCAUUGAUACUGAUGAUCUUGAGUAUGAUUGAGGUGGGCGGAAUGUGUCAUGUAGCGGUGAAAUGCUUAGAUAUGACACAGAACACCGAUUGCGAAGGCAGCUCACUAAGUCAUAACUGACGCUGAUGCACGAAAGCGUGGGGAGCAAACAGG
This 253-nucleotide ribosomal RNA is filed under the name uncultured bacterium. RNAcentral describes it as "partial 16S ribosomal RNA". It matches the Rfam family "Bacterial small subunit ribosomal RNA", at positions 524 to 776 of the family's 1533-position model. The record is from RNAcentral.